CGUCACGAGCAAGGGCCGCCAUUUUGACUGAGCAACCAUAGUGACAGGAGCCGAAGCAGCAGCGCUGGUUGUCCCCGUCUCCCCUCCCCCUUCCCUUCUCCGGUUGAAUUCCCGGGCCCCCCUACACUCCACAGUCCCGGCCCUGCCAUGUCCCAGAAACAAGAAGAAGAGAACCCUGCGGAGGAGACCGGAGAGGAAAAGCAGGAUACACAGGAAAAAGAAGGUAUUCUUCCUGAGAGAGCUGAGGAGGCAAAGCUAAAGGCCAAAUAUCCAAGCUUAGGACAAAAGCCUGGAGGCUCUGACUUCUUGAUGAAGAGACUCCAGAAAGGGCAAAAAUACUUUGACUCAGGAGACUACAACAUGGCCAAAGCCAAGAUGAAGAAUAAGCAGCUGCCAAGUGCAGGACCAGACAAGAACCUGGUGACUGGUGAUCACAUCCCAACCCCGCAGGAUCUACCCCAGAGAAAGUCCUCACUCGUCACCAGCAAGCUUGCGGGGUAACCUGGGCCCUCUCCUCCCCUCCUCACCCACUGGACUUUCAUAGAUUGUAGGCAGGGAUGGAACGGGCACCUAGGCAGAUCUGCAAGGGGCUACUGAGAAGGUAACGUAGGUUGAAGAGGGGCUCUGAGUUCGUUCUUUUAGUUAACUGAGAUAUCUACACUCUCACUGCAGCCCAGAUAGGGGCCCAGAAAUAGGAGAGAUUAGAGUUGGAUAAUACUGGCAACGCUUUGUCUUGUGUGAGUAACUGGGGUGAUAGGAUUUCUUUUGGUAGAGAAAGUCCCAAAAUUGGCUAGGCUGAGCCUUGGAAUAAUGUGACAGAUUUAAUAUCCCAAAGCUCACCUGACCUGACCUAGUUGGGAAAGGCAGGUUGAAUGAGUCUUGUUUCCUGUGCUUCUAAGUGUUUUGUCCCUUAGGCUGCUAUUGCUUCAUGUUUCCAUUAUGACAGGUUUAGAACCUUUGAAAAGGAAACCUAAUUUGCUUGCCUAAAACUACAGUGUCUACUUUACCUCAGCCUUUCUUACAGUUUGCCCUAAGUCACAAAUGACAUAAAGAUUGAUGAACAUUAUCUGUGGAAAGUGGGCACCUUCUCUCUCUUCCAGCAUGUUGCUUUCGAAAGUAUCAUGGGCUAGUGAAAAGAGCAAUGGUUUAGAAGUCAGUUUAUCCGGGUUCUGUUUCCAUUUAGUCUUAGCAGUAACUGAUACAUAACCUUGGCCGGGUUAUUUAGCCUGUCUGCAUUUCUGUUUCCUCAUCCAUGACUGUACAAAAGUGAUUUCUGAUUCCAAAAUUCUGUACCUGCCAGCUGAAAAGCUCUGUAGUGUCUGUCAUAAAACUGAAAGUGCAGAAGGCCCUGUAGGUGAGCCUCCGCACUGUAAUCCUGGGCAGGCUCCACAGAGGGAAAACAUUUUAGGACUGCAGGAAGAGAGAGGAAGUUUGAGAUCUGAGGGCUAUAAGUGUAGGCAACAGACCUGAUAGUACAUCAUGGUCUUGAGGCUUAUUUAAAAGAACAACAACAACAAAGAAAAACCUACCUUGAAGCGGCCAGGCUCGCUUACGCCCUUCUGGAGAUCCAUGUCUCAGAGGUCAUUUGGGUGUCUGGUGUGUUAUUAGGGAGAAAGGAAGAGAGGAGAUAAACUGAGCUAGCCCCAGGACUUAGUGCUACUGCAGAGCUGGAGCAGCAAGUUUUUAGGAGUGGAUUCACUUUAGAAGAAGCUGCAGAAAGUUUUCAGGGUUAGGAAAGGAAGACUGAGAAACCUGCCUUCUACUCUUGUGCAAUAAGAAGGCAGCCAUGUGGAUUCAUAAACGUGGGAGAAGAGAUUGUGGUAACCAGGAUCACCAGCGUGGCCUGAGUCUUACUGAAUGUAGCCUGCUACUUAUGACAAAGAGCACCAGGCUGAGAAUUAACUAUUCAAGAGAACAAGAUUCUCUACUCCUCUCUUGCCCUUCAUCUCACAAAUUCUGAUUUGCCAAACACUAGGCCCAUGAGAAUGACUUGCUGGGGUGCUGGUGGGGGGUGAGGUGUAGAUAUACUGCUGACUGUCUCUCAGAUUGGUUUAGGAGAAGGUUGGUGAGGAAGGAAUGGAGAGAGCAGGAUCCCUGGACUCCCUGGCUCCCCCAAACUCCUUGACUGUCACCUGUAAUUGUAUAUAAUUCAUGUGUUUCUUGCUCCAUUUUCUCAUGCUGUCACCCUUAAAGUCCAUGUGGGAGGGGGAAAAUGCUCAACAUCAUUGUAUAGUUUCCUCGACUGUCCCAGCCAUGUUGUACAUAGAUAUGUCAUGUUAUUAUAUAUAUAAAUAUAUAUAUAAUUUUGUACGUUUUCUUCAUCUCUGA
Molecule: RNA transcript, 2328 nt
Organism: Perognathus longimembris pacificus (Pacific pocket mouse)
Lineage: Eukaryota; Metazoa; Chordata; Mammalia; Rodentia; Heteromyidae
Gene: Ensa
Gene name: endosulfine alpha
Exons: 4
Source: RefSeq, a predicted model, not a curated record